RNAcentral lists this long non-coding RNA (359 nucleotides) under Gallus gallus (chicken). The record is from RNAcentral. Lineage: Eukaryota; Metazoa; Chordata; Aves; Galliformes; Phasianidae.
CUUGGGAAGCAUUGGGAUCACCUUUUGCACUAAAUAGACACUCGUUGCCCUCUCGCUCGCCACUCUAUCCAGUGCUGUUUCUUCCAGUACGAAGUAGCUUACAUCCGCAAUGUGAACACCCACCUCAAAGUUCCCGUCAGGGAGUUGUUUACAGGACAAAGCAUCAUCAAGAUCUUUGGCAGUUGAUGGGUCGAUGGUGAAAAUGCAUUCUUUCCUUAAAUCUCUCCUUUUGGCCAUCUCUCCCGGUGAGAUAACCCAGGGCAGGCCUUGGGGAAGACAUUCCAGGGCUUCGGGGGAAAAGUCAGAGAAAUCCACGCCAUACUCCGUCAGGAUUCCUUCUGUUUCCGGCUCGAUCUCCC